RNAcentral lists this ribosomal RNA (484 nucleotides) under uncultured bacterium. RNAcentral's name for it is "partial 16S ribosomal RNA". It matches the Rfam family "Bacterial small subunit ribosomal RNA", at positions 29 to 507 of the family's 1533-position model. The record is from RNAcentral.
AUUGAACGCUGGCGGCAUGCUUUACACAUGCAAGUCGAACGGCAGCGCGGGCUUCGGCCUGGCGGCGAGUGGCGAACGGGUGAGUAAUACAUCGGAACGUGCCCAGUAGUGGGGGAUAACUCGGCGAAAGCCGGAUUAAUACCGCAUACGACCUGAGGGUGAAAGCGGGGGAUCUUCGGACCUCGCGCUAUUGGAGCGGCCGAUGGCAGAUUAGCUAGUUGGUGGGGUAAAGGCCUACCAAGGCGACGAUCUGUAGCUGGUCUGAGAGGACGACCAGCCACACUGGGACUGAGACACGGCCCAGACUCCUACGGGAGGCAGCAGUGGGGAAUUUUGGACAAUGGGCGAAAGCCUGAUCCAGCAAUGCCGCGUGUGUGAUGAAGGCCUUCGGGUUGUAAAGCACUUUUGGCGGGAACGAAAAGGACUGUGCCAAUACCACGGUUCGAUGACGGUACCCGCAGAAUAAGCACCGGCUAACUACGUG